UUCUAGAAACUUCUUUGAAAUUCCCCUUUUAGUGCAUCCAAAGUGUAUCUAUUUGAAUGUACACCACUGUCAGUGGGCCAUCUCUAGCUCCCACACACACUUGCGCACUCAGCGGGCGCUCUCUUGCCCAGUCUCCCGAGCUCCCACUUUGGUAACGGUAUCACGCGCCCAGCUCGGUACGUUCCAAUUGGAUUUCAACUCUCGCAGCGAAAAGUCGACGUCGCUCCGCAGAUCCGCAGCUCCAUCAGUACUCUCGUUCCCGCUUUCAGUCACUGUGUAAUCUACCUGUGAAAGUGAAAACGUGACAACCCGAUAAACGAACGAGGCAAGCAAAACAAAAAUCAGCAAGCAAGUGCAUAAAAAACGACGACGACGCAGACGAGGCACAAGAACAAGUGCAGCAAAUCAGAGGGCAAUCCAAAGGCCCGAAAGAGAACC
Non-coding RNA from Drosophila bipectinata, 438 nucleotides. The record is from RefSeq and is a predicted model, not a curated record. Lineage: Eukaryota; Metazoa; Arthropoda; Insecta; Diptera; Drosophilidae.